This is a long non-coding RNA of Triticum aestivum (bread wheat), 3505 nucleotides long. RefSeq lists it as uncharacterized. The transcript has 3 exons. NCBI's taxonomy places the organism in Eukaryota, Viridiplantae, Streptophyta, Magnoliopsida, Poales, Poaceae. The record is from RefSeq and is a predicted model, not a curated record.
AACAAGUCCCUCCACCCCCGUCUUCUUCCUCCGCCCGUGCGUCGCUAGGGGCCGGCGCCGCCAAGCUGCGUGAUUUGGCGCCCAUCAGGAAGUGCUCCGCCCGUACCUUUGCCGCCGCCGCCGUCGCCAAGUACCUGCUCCGCCACCGCCGCCGUCGCCAAGUACCUGCUCCGCCACCGCCGCCCGAACCUGUGCCGCAGCGAUCCCCUCUCGCCGGAUUACCUGCGGACGUCGCCGGAAUUUCCCACCAUGAUCCGGCGGAGCAGGAGCUCCCUCUCAUCUUCCUCGAGCUACCACGAGUCCUCCUCUAGCUGCCGUGAGUCCACCUUGAGCUGCCUCCCGUGUGCUGCCGCGACCCCUCCCGCCGUGAUCUCCUACGGGCAUCGCUGGAACCGGCCUCCACGAUCCGGUGGACAAGAGCUUGCGCGCGUCCUCCUCUAUCUCCCGCAAGUCCUCGUCGAGCUCCCACCAGCUGCCGUGCUGCUCCUUCUCCUCUGCCCGCGUGCCUGCUGCUGCUCUGUUUCUCCUCUGCUUCUCCCCUGCCGCCGGUGGAGCUAGCCCGUGCUGCUGCUGCUCCUCUGCCCGUGUUGAUGCUGCUGCUCCUCUACCUCUGUUGCUGCUGCUGAUCCAAGUGAACAUGUCGUGUUGCUGCUGCUGCUGGUCCAAGUGACUGCGCUGUGUUGCUGCUGCUGCUAUUUGCACUCUGAAGAAGGUACAGUUGCCUGUAGAUUGAUCUGCUGCUAUGUGCUGCUGCUGCUGCUAUUUGUUCCAUGCUCCAUGGCAUCAGAUGGCAUGGAAAACAAUUUUGUUCCAUGCUCCAUGGCAUCAGAUGGCAUGGAAAACAAUUCAUGUUCUACAGUGCCGUGUUCAACUUGCUCAUCCUCUGAUGAUGACAUCUCUUUCAAUACAUUAUUCACCUCAGGAGCUGCAUGUAAAAUUUAAAAUCAAUAUGGUUUUCUUAUUAAUGUAAAAUCAGCAAAGCUAUCAGCAUGGAACAAAUAAAAGGACUGUGGAUGACAAGAAAUCGCUUCUAUUUAGUUAAGAGGUCCAUUUCAUGCUAUCAAGGACACUUCCAGUUUUUCUUUAGUUUCAUCAAAGGUUCAUCAAUACAGAUGCUAAAAUCUAGCAUAUCACAUGGGAUGGAUCAGCUAAAGUAAGAAAGACCAUCUCAAGAAUAGUCACAAAACAAUUUGCAAGAAAUACUACUGUAUAUUCUAAUUUACUGAAAUGAUUGGCAUAGCAAAAACAGAUAUGCAGUGGACAUGUUUGGUACAGUAAAUAAAUAUGCAGCCAUAGCGUGGAUAGAUUAGAUACAAAGAAUGGAGUAAAGUUUAUCAAAGGAAGAAAAUUGACUUACAGUGCUGAACAUCCAAUAUUUAGUAAAUCAAUUUGGAUGGCGUGCAGAAUUCCUGUGUAUGACACUUAACUUAGCAAAUUCAGUUAAAGAUGCAUUCUAAAGAUGCAUUCAGUUAAAAAUGUCUACUGAAUUUGCUCCAUGUUCUAAACAGAGUACUCCUAUAUUAAUACAUCAAUCUGCCAUAACUACUCCAUGCCAGAACUACUCCAUGAUCUUGAAAUCUUAAGUCCAAGAAAUCUACCAGAACUACUCCAUGAUGAGUACUCCAGGCCAUUGUCUGAGACACAAUUUGAAAUUUGCCAACACAAUUUGUUGUACUGGAUCUACAGUAAAUAAAUUUGAGAACACAUUUUCUUCAGUCCCUCACUGACAACACAAAAAAUUUGGAUGCAUUCAACUUGAACAUGGAGUAUUUUCAGCAAAAAAACUUGAGUAUGGCAGCAUUUUCUACAAAAAACAACUUGAGCAUGAAGUAUAAGGGGUAUUUUCACCAAUUUAGAGAGAGUAUUUGAAAAUUUGGUCACUACAGGACCACUACACUACUCCAGGUCACUACUGUUCAGAAACAAACUUGGAAAGGUAAUAAAUCAGUUUUGAUUCUAUUGACAGGAGCACAUGAAUAAGAACUCUGUCUAAACAUUUAGUUUAUACGUCAACACUGAACUGUCUAAAUACUCCUGUACAGUACUGUGCCAUUCAGUUUAUUGACAGGAGUAUUCAGUAUGCUAUUGACAGGAGCAGUAGUAUCUCAACAAGCAGUACUCGUUGCUAUGGUGCAGCCAUGGAUGCAUGAAACAAGUUUAAAAACAAAUUUAAAUGAUGCUGCGAUUCAAAAAUUAAAUGGAAAAAGCUCAAGAUGAUUAAUCAUGACUACUGUCACAUGACAGAUUACUCCUGUACACUAUUGUGCCAUUUUAUAAGUGCAGACUAGUUCUAUAAGUGCACACUAAUUCUAGAAGUGCAGAUGUUUAGUUGUGACAUUAUACAGGAGGAACAUUCAGUCUAAUUCAGCAGUUGAAAAUGCAGUUGUUUAGUGCAAUUGAAAAUGCAGCAAUUCAGGAAUCACCUGAAUCAAUUCAGACCACUGCAGAAGAUGUCCUUGAACUGCCACUCCUUCCACCUGAAGAUGUUGCCACUCCUUCUAAGCACAAACUUUCAGACCAGAGCACACACAACAAUCCACCAGAAGAUGUCGCCACUCCUCGAACUGCCACCACACGCGCCCAAUCGUCGGCCUUGAGCGAAGCUGCCGAAAAUCGAUCUACUCAGAGGUGACUCUGUGCUCUCAUGGCCAACAAGGGUGAAGAUCCUCAGGGACUGUGCAUCUGUCCUGAGGUUUCUUCACACACACUCCGAUGGAUGCAUUGUACAUAGAGACAUUAUGCUUACCAACAUCUUGCUGACAGAGGACAUGGAGCCUAAGCUGUCUGAUUUUGGGCUAGCAAAAACGCUGCAAAUGGAGGAGACCAAGGUCUUCACAGAUGUGGGGGGAACCAUUGGUUACAUGGAUCCUGAGUACAUAACACACUCCAAGCUUACUUGCGCAAGUGAUAUCUACAGCUUUGGCGUGGUUGUGCUGCAGCUUCUGUCAGGAAGAAAGGUCAUCGAACUUGACAUUGUUCCACGCGAUUCUCUCACCAAGAAGGUAAAUUCAGGCAUAUAUUUUUCAGAAUCAUAUCCCUGUUACACUGAGCAGGAACUCGGCAAGUCAAUUUCAGAGUUAUUCUCACCAUUGUUACCUGAAGUUUUUGAUGCUCCUAAUUUGGUCUCGGUUCUUGUCUCAAGGCCAAAGAUGCAUCGCCCCUCGGCCUCUCCCCGGAGGCAGAGCUCGCGCCGCCGCUCCAGUCACUGGCUGCGCCGCCGGCUUGUCCCUAUCCUCGAACGCCUGUAGAAAUCUAGGAUGAUGAAGAAGAAAUUGGGUGGACAUGGCCCGAACAAUCCAAGAAGAUAAAAGAAGAAAUUGCAUGGGUGCAGUAGAUCGAAGGGAGGAGAAGGGGAAAAAGGAGACCUUUGACUCCGGCGGGCUACUUGGUGAGCUCCUCCACCUGCCUCUUUGCAAUCCGCCGAGCAGCCGCCGCGCCAGGAAUGCGAGAAAGGAGGGCGCCCCGCUGCCAUGCCCCGGCGAGGUAAACACAUGGCCGUCGGACA